CUGAUGUGUUCUGUUCAUCUUUCCCUCUUCUCUUUUUUUACGCUGCUAUCAACGAGCAUUGAUUUCCUGACCCACUAACGGGCCCUGACCUGAAGACUGAAACACACCACAGCUCACUGACACCCACCAUUCAAAACAGCUUUUCUAUUCAACAAUGCGCUUUGUGUUCUAAAAGGUUAAUCAACAAAAGAACUUUGAGGACAUGACCUAUUCGGAGCCUGUGUGUAAUUGAGCCACUGCAUGGAGGUAGUGUCUGGGUCUACAGUAAGAUUAAGUAGGGUCCUUUCAUCUGGACCAGUUCUCAGGAACUUUGGACGCCAGGUGCGAAUAGACACCAAAAUACACGUAUACACCACCAGCACCAAGACGGCACUUUCGGACUAGGUAACCUUGGCAACUUGUUGAGCUGUUUAUGAAGCAUUAGAUCUGCCACAAGAUUAGUGACACUCUGAUAAAGCCCAUUGGAGUAACUCAGAAUAAAAAAUCCUUGCCCUCCUGAAUGGAUGUGUUCACUCCGAGAUAAUUCACUGAGCAAUACAGUUAUGGUAAGAACUCUCACUCAGUGGAGUGCUCCUUAAGUGCCUGGCCUGUGCUAAGUGUUGUGCUAAUCAUCAUCCUACCGCCCUAGGAUGGAUCCCAUGAGGUCGACGCUGCAAGGAGCCAGUGCGAACCGUGCCUCUGUGAGGAAGAGGCUCACUGUCUUGCUACAGAUGCACAUGCAAAGUACUGUCGCCCCUUUGUUUUCCACAGAAGGAAACCUAAGGCCCAGAAAGCCUUGAUAAGCCCCCCAAAUCAAAGCAAAAACUAUGGACUCCCAAAAUGC
Molecule: long non-coding RNA, 823 nt
Organism: Microcebus murinus (gray mouse lemur)
Lineage: Eukaryota; Metazoa; Chordata; Mammalia; Primates; Cheirogaleidae
Source: RefSeq, a predicted model, not a curated record